This 310-nucleotide ribosomal RNA is filed under the name uncultured bacterium. RNAcentral's name for it is "bacterial SSU rRNA". It matches the Rfam family "Bacterial small subunit ribosomal RNA", at positions 28 to 346 of the family's 1533-position model. The record is from RNAcentral.
GAUGAACGCUAGCGGCAGGCCUAAUACAUGCAAGUCAAGGGGCCAGCAAUGGCACCGGCGCACGGGUGCGUAACACGUACACAACAUACCUUUAAGUGGGAGAUAGCAUCGGGAAACUGGUGGUAAUACCCCAUAAUAUUGCGAUGCGGCAUCACAUUGCAAUUAAAGUUUCGACGCUUAAAGAUUGGUGUGCGUCCGAUUAGCUAGUUGGCGGGGUAACGGCCCACCAAGGCUACGAUCGGUAGGGGGUGGUGAGAGCAUGACCCCCCACCAUGGUACGUNAGACACGGACCCGAACCUACCUACCGGG